CUGAACUCUGAUAGGAAGUUCCUAGAAAACUUUAUCAAGAGGAAUCCAUUUCCUACAAAUCGGGAUUCGAAUGACUUCAAGACAGACAUAACGGACAUGGGCCGACAAGCCUUGGAAGAGUGGAAGACGCACCUGCCUCCUAAGGAAUUCUUGAAUUGGACUUGUGCAAAAUGUCCAUGUGAGCUCAACACUUGGCGCUAAUUUGCAGAAAGCCCGCGGCUAUCCUCCCGAAGCACCUGCUCCAACAAACAUAGGCAAUAUGGACAGAUGGAAGUCUUCCGUCAGGUGAUAUCACAUAGAACUGUGUUUGGUAUAUAAUGUGCCGGCUCGGAACAGGAGCAAAAGCUUCAGAGCUGCCCCUCUGCAGCUCAAGCAGCAACAUAAAGACUUGGAGCUUGAGGUUGGCGACCCCUCUCCUCCACCUCGUCUGGUUCCCACAACCCAGUGCAGAGCAGUCUGGGAGCUGGGCUUUGUAGCAUGUAGCUGUUCAAGAGGAGAGCUUCAAAUGGGCUUCAUACAAACCUCACGAAAGCUCGUUCGCUCAAAUGUCUGCAGUUCCUUUUCCAGUGUCGGCAACCUUGCGAAGCCUUCGAAGUUAUUUUCCCGGUCCAGACUCAGAAGUGACGCAUUACUAAGAAUUCUACACAUUCUGCGCAACAGGCCUCGAAUUCUCCAUUUGCUUGCUUUCAUGCUGAUUGUGUGCGGGUUAUCUCGACUGAGUGCCAAGACUACAAAGUGGAAGGGCGAGGAGUUUGGGGUUGUAGAGUUUCUGAAACAAGCGUAGCGAAGAUGGAUCCUUCAAGGUCGCAACUUUCAAGUUCAAACAAGAAUCAUAGUCGAAGUUUUUCGGAGUUAGUAAUCGUGCUCGCCAUUGCAAGUGUACAAUUGACAUGAGGUGGCAUCACCCUAACAAGUUUUGCAAAGGAAUGUGCCUUGCCGGUAGAGGGCGCAGCAUUAUUCCAUGACCUUGCGAAGAUGCACGAGGAUCCAAAUGCGGAACCUGAGAAACUAAACUGUGAGAAUAAGGAUUUCUCAGAAAAAUUUAUCCUUGCCAAACCACUUCCUGCAUCGCAGAACUUGGAGAAAAUAAAGACAGGAUUUAAGAAAUUGGGCCCGCAUGUCUUGGAAGCAUGGAAGACGGAUCUGGGUCCCGAGAAGUUUCAGAAGUGGGGAGCCCGCGGAUAUCCUCCUGAAGAACCUGCUUCAACAAACUUAGGCAACAUGGACACGGAUAGGUCUUCGAUUCUACAAGUGGCUUGUGAACAUGGGACUUUUAGUCGUAGGUCAAUUGGGGAGUUGACAAGUGUAGCUUCCCAGGCAUCGAGGAGUGAAGGGGUCUGCACAUGUGUGCAAUGGUUUCAUGGACUUAAAAGAACAUAAUUAUACUGUCUAUGGGUGAAGUUAAUUUUUAUCACAGUAAUGGCACAAUAAUAAUAAUAAUAAUAAUAGUUGAGAUUCUAUUUUUAUAGGAACUCCAUCAGUACGACUGUAUUCCCUCCAAUUUCCUUGGAGAUUCAGCUUCCUUUCGACGAAAUGUGCAGCAUGAUGUAAAUUGGCGAUCUUUACCACAGCUAAAUGAUUAACCAAGUUCACCAAA
This is a non-coding RNA of Physcomitrium patens, 1597 nucleotides long. Lineage: Eukaryota; Viridiplantae; Streptophyta; Bryopsida; Funariales; Funariaceae. The record is from RefSeq and is a predicted model, not a curated record.